CUUUCGCUCCCAUCGCGAUUUCUUCACCUUCCUCGCGAUUCCUCUGCUGCGCCCACGCCUGCGCCCGCGCUCACGCUCCGCAUCCUCAUCCUCAUCGCUCCCCACCCCUUCCUCAUCCUGCGCGCCGCCGCCCUCGCCUGCCGCGUCGCCCUCGCCGUCGGUCGCCUCCCCACCGACGAGUCACCAUCGACGAUGUCCAGGACCCCACCUUCGGAGUUCCAACGCCGUCGGCAGCCGUCCUUGCCGUUCGUGCGCUGUGCUCCACCGAAGGGAACCCAUUCCUAGGGUUUGGCUGCUGCCGCCAAUCCGCGCUGUUGCGCCGCCGCCAUCCCCGAAUCCGAUGACGCCGUCGGUUGCAAUCGCCGUUGCGGCUGCUGGGAUAACAGCAACGGAGGCAGGAGCGAGGAGGAUGCAACGGUGGAGAACACCGACGUGGGGAGCGUGUCGGCAGCGUCGGGGGCUGGCUGUGGCGCGGCGUUGUAGAGGAGGACGGGGUCCGGGUGGUGGGACUGGGGUAGACGGUGAGCUCGUCCCCACGCUGCCGUGUUCUGCGAGCGUCGCGCUGCCCUCCAGAAUUCGCAUGGCAUCCCCACGCUGUCGUGUACUGCAAGAGCCGCGCCGCCCUCCACAACUCGCAUGGCAUUCACACGCGCCACCAUUGCCAAUCAGAGGCACCUCAAUGGAGAACAAUCGUGAUUCCAUGGACGCCAUCCUCCACAACGAACAGAAGAACCUCCCCAUCUCCAAUAAGGUACGCCUCUAAUUGAUGCACGCCAGGCACUCGAUGAAAUCACCAAGAAGGGGUCGUUCAUGCCCAAACAACUCGGAGUAGCGAGCACUGGUGCUGUUGUUGAGCACAGUGCAGCUCACUGUCACUGGUGUGGCUCAGUGGGUCGAGGUGCUUCUAUUGUCCGCAUUACCUUAAAUUUGGAGCUGGGUCCGCCAUUUCCACCAAUGUUGCCUCCCCCAAGAGCUCGCUUAGGAUGUGAAGGUGUUUGAGCUGCAGGUGGGCUGGAUAAAUGUGAUUCGUUCGGGUUCUUUGAGAUUGACAUAUACCUGUCGUGAGUUGCUGUUGUAAACCUGUGAUAGUUCUGUUACGGAUUGGGGCUCAUGGAGUCGUGGAUGGAUCAGUAUGAGAUCAUGGAGCAGAUUGGUCGUGGCGCAUUUGGUGCUGUCAUCCUUGUUAAUCACAAGAUUGAGAAGAAGAAGUAUGAUAUAGCACCCAUCCAUCAGUUGGAUUUCUCCCUUCAAUUAGGUGACUGUAUGCUUGUCUUAA
This is a long non-coding RNA of Phragmites australis (common reed), 1276 nucleotides long. RefSeq lists it as uncharacterized. The record is from RefSeq and is a predicted model, not a curated record. The transcript is spliced from 3 exons. Lineage: Eukaryota; Viridiplantae; Streptophyta; Magnoliopsida; Poales; Poaceae.